GGUUGGUUCUGUCAGUCACAGCAGUGGAAAAGCUGACUAAAGCAGCACCUAAUGCUGUAUAUUACCAUUUAAGGCACUGCUCCAGGAAUUACCCAAAUGACAAACAACCCAUGACAUUCUGCCCCAAGAGAAAUGCAAAGCAGAGACUGAAUUGAUCAAUUUUUUUUAAGCUCUCCACACCUGGAUAUGUUAAUUUGAAUGGAUGUAUUAGACUGGCAUAGAAGAAAAUCAAAGUCCUCCUGUUGUUUAUCUUCUUUACCUAAAGUGGCAGAUUUAUGAAGAAUUUGUUUGUACUAAAUAUAAAAUUCUUACAUCUAAGAAAGCAUCUUUGGACUAGAAAUAUCAGCAUCUUUCAAGGCUUUUGGCCCCAGGAGAGGACUACUUGGGGGAUGCUAGGUACCAAGUCAUCUGCAAAAUCAUAUGCCUAAUCCCAAAGUUUGCCGCCUCCAGGCCCCCAAACCAAUCAUUUUGGGAGGAAAUUGACCAACCCUACAAUCCCAAUAGCCAAGAUCUAGACUCUGGAUGUGAAGUCACAGGUGGAAUCUGCUUCCAGGCUGUAUCAUGCCAAGACUACGAUUGCAACUAAAUCAUAUGGAGAGGAGUCAAGCUAUCAGAUGGAGAUACUGAAGCCCAGAAAAUACCACUGAAAAAUAGAACAAGCAUGGACUUCAUGGAAGAGAGAUCUGAGUUCAGAUUUGGGAGCCACUAGCUCUACUCAUAAGUCUCUCCAGAAAGAAGUAGCUAAAAUCACACUUUGGAGUGAACUAGAGUAAGCUUUGCUCAUUAUAAUCUCAUUUUAAUGCUAAAUUCUCUGCCCAGGAACCAUUCCGGUCCACCAUUUCUGAACAAGCAAUGAAUGAAGAAGAACUGAGCAAGCUCAGGAGUGUGUCCAUAUCUGCAUGUGAGGAUGAAUCUUUCUAGUAUGAAUAUGUAUGAGUCACCCCUCCUUGUUUCUUUGUUCAGGGAGACUUUGUUUUGGGAGUGCUUUUGUUACUUGUUCUAGUAAUAAAUUUCUCUUCAUUCUUUA
This is a long non-coding RNA of Marmota flaviventris (yellow-bellied marmot), 1027 nucleotides long. RefSeq lists it as uncharacterized. Lineage: Eukaryota; Metazoa; Chordata; Mammalia; Rodentia; Sciuridae. The record is from RefSeq and is a predicted model, not a curated record.